This 460-nucleotide ribosomal RNA is filed under the name uncultured bacterium. RNAcentral describes it as "bacterial SSU rRNA". It matches the Rfam family "Bacterial small subunit ribosomal RNA", at positions 330 to 792 of the family's 1533-position model. The record is from RNAcentral.
UCCAGACUCCUACGGGAGGCAGCAGUGGGGAAUAUUGCACAAUGGGGGAAACCCUGAUGCAGCGACGCCGCGUGAGUGAAGAAGUAUCUCGGUACGUAAAGCUCUCUCAGCAGGGAAGAAAAAAAGUCUUUGGCUUUGGACGGUACCUGACUAAGAAGCCCCGGCUAACUACGUGCCAGCAGCCGCGGUAAUACGUAGGGGGCAAGCGUUAUCCGGAUUUACUGGGUGGAAAGGGAGCGUAGACGGCAGCGCAAGUCUGAAGUGAAAGGCGGGGGCCCAACCCCCGGACUGCUUUGGAAACUGUGCUGCUGGAGUGCAGGAGAGGCAAGUGGAAUUCCUAGUGUAGCGGUGAAAUGCGUAGAUAUUAGGAGGAACACCAGUGGCGAAGGCGGCUUGCUGGACUGUAACUGACGUUGAGGCUCGAAAGCGUGGGGAGCAAACAGGAUUAGAUACCCUAGUA